Pteropus alecto (black flying fox) is the source of this 6011-nucleotide long non-coding RNA. RefSeq lists it as uncharacterized. The record is from RefSeq and is a predicted model, not a curated record. The transcript is spliced from 2 exons. NCBI's taxonomy places the organism in Eukaryota, Metazoa, Chordata, Mammalia, Chiroptera, Pteropodidae.
GGCUACGUAAGUGCAAGAAAUCAGCCUAAAAACCCUGCUAAUGACCUCAUUAUUGGGCAAGCACUUGAAACAAGCCCCUCCGGCUGCGCACGUGCACUGCCAACCUGAUGCCUAUCACUGACCUCUACCGUGGUUGCACGUCCAGGAGGAGAGGCUUUGAUCAGAGCAGGCAGCAGCAUGGGAAAACAGGCUUUACUCUCCACAACUGUGGCAGCUAGAGACAGAACAGCUCACUGAGAAGAAAUGAAUACAUUGGAAUAGAAAAUGAUGAUCAAAAAAUAAAAACAAUGUUUUUCUAGAUCUUCACCCAUUUAUUUGGCUUUGGCCUCAGUGAUCCUGCCGAUGAGUUGAACACUCUGGGAAGGACGGUCCCUCGUCCCUAACAACGAGCUGUGAAAUGAAUCUUUACCCCGUGAGUGACAAAUCCAGAAAUCAACCAGGCUACAGACGUGACUGACAAGUGUCACAUUCACAGGGAGGAAGUGUGGGCGACACAGGACUUCAUAAUCCAAAUUUAAACAGUGCCCAUAGCAAACAGAAAUUUAAAGUUGCUUUAGAUGAAUUUAAAAAAUCAGGCGCUCCCGCUAAGCGGCUUGUCUCGAAGGUGAGCUGACUCAGGCAGACCUUCCUACCUGUGAGCGACCUUCCUACCUAAGGAACAGAAAUCCGAAAACAGCACCCCCAAAGUCAUCUUUCUAAGAAAAGGAAUUUUCCUAAGGGAAAGUGAAGACCAUUGCACAGGUCAGCACAGCACGAAGCACCCCGGCCCGCCCCGCUCUGCCCUCUGGCCCCCCGAGAAGCACAGCUCAAAGCACAGGCAUCGAGUUUAGAUUCCAGCAAAUGCCAGAAGGUGACAAGCUCCGUCUUUAUCACCAACUGGUCAGAACUGGAUAUCUUUACAGAAGACUUAGCACAGAACAUAAAAAAAGCCUCACCUCUGAAAAAUGGAGAUUUUAGAUGAACUUCAAGGGAAGUUUGAGGAAGAGCAAGGAACAGCAGUCUGGAGAGAUGUUUGGCGUGAGAGCAGAAAUUCUGGAAUAACUGGAGAUCAAAUAGCCACUCCUGACCACGUCAUCUCUGAGUCCCAGUGGAGAGGUCAAUUAAAGGCACCUUCAUCCCCGACCUCACCCGCAGCAGCCUCACGGCCUUUGAUUAAUGGGAGGGCGUGGCUCGAGCCCACUGCAGCUUUCCAGAGGCUCCUUCCGACUUGGGGUUUGAUUUUAGCGUCUCAGGACACGGAAGACCCCUCCUCUCACCCGACUGCCGUGGAGGCGGCCGUGUUCAAUGUGGGCGGGACAUUAUGGGGAAACCAAAAUAAGCGCAGAGCAGGGCCCUUGACCUCAGCACUGUUGACACCUUGGUACCAUGCCUCUGGCCUGUGACUCACAGGAUGGUGAGCAGCACCCAGUUCUCUACAUACCCGGUGCCAGCAGCACUCUGUACCCCAGAGUCUGUCACAACCAAAAGUCUCUCCGGACGUUGCCAAAUGUGCCCUGGGAGGCAAAAUGGUCCCCGCUGAGAACGCCUGAUCUGGAGGCACUUGCGCCCUCCUCCGAGGGGCCCGCACUGCAGAAGCAGGCUGACUCAUCACCCUGUACAGGUACGCCACGCCCCCAGAGACCGCGGGCCAGGGAGAGACCCUCCAACGCGUCAUCUAACGUCCGCGGCCCACGUUUGUCCAGCGAGAGCUCCAGGGUGAGCCCAGCUAGCGUUGUCGGGCAGAGCAGGCAGGUAGGCGGCCCACACUCAGGUAGCACGUGGGGCCACAGGGCGGGAAGGAGGCUCAGAGCCAGAGGGGCUGGGGGUGCCAAGGCCGAGCACGUGAUCGUGGACGCGGGCUGGGAGGAAGGCCACUGCGAGCGAGAAGGUCAGAGACCCGGGCUGUGCCUGCUGGCCCCCCGGGUGGCCCCGUUGAAAGGGGUGAGCGCUGAAGCAGGAAGGCCGCCAGGAGGCCACCUGCACAGCCCACACAGACAGCGCGGUCACAGCAGAGGUUUGGGCGGGGUUCUGGUCGGAGCCCCUGCUCCUUAUUAGUCUGUCAUUUAGAAGCGCCCCUGUGCCUUCUCCCGGCUUCCUGUGUCAAAUGGGAGAGAUGAAGCCACCAGACAGGAUGUCCGGUGACAGCAGGAGCCCAGGCUGGCACGAGACGGGCCGUCAGUGAGAAUCUGCAGCACAGUCUGUUAUGCUAAAGUAUACACAUUACUUUUCCUGCAAAACAAGGGACGCGAGCAUCACAGUUUAUGUGCGGAUUGGGGGAGCCACAGGCGGAGUCUGGAGGCUUCAUUAGCUUGGAUCAGGUUUAUGGCUUCAGCCGGCAUUUCUGAGGCUCCUGGAGAGCGUCGCCCACUCCCAGGCAGCUGCCCCCCUUCGAGCCCCGAUUCUGGCUCUGCCUCACUGCCGUUUGGGGUUCUUAUUCUUGGACAAGUACAACUACAACUAUAUAGAAAAGGACACACGUCGACCAAGACUGGAAGGAAACACAGUAAACAACAGACUUGCUCAUUGCAGGGCUGGAAUUGUGGGCGUUUUCUUGCUUUUCAGACGACCCUGAGAACUCGCGAGAAUGCUCCUCCCCGUCCCCGUCCGCAACAAUACUCAGGUUAAGGAACCCGAACUUCAUUCCGGAAGCAGCCGUAAAUGACCCACUGGCAGGAUUUAAACAGGAAGACAUUGAAUUCUCACUGAACACGAACGUCUAACUCUUCUGCCCGAGAACAUUUUCCAUCUCUCUUAAGAAGUUCUAUAUCGUCUGCUGGAUUCGAAAAGUCACCGAGGAGACACAAAAUCAGGGGCGCUGACCCUUCUCUAUAAAUAGCAUCUGUCAGUGACCGCAGAUGCCCAGACCGAGGCGGCUCGCCGUGUGCCGCCACGGAAUUCUGGACACGCGAGGACUUCCAAUGUCACUCCAAUGUCAUUAGUGCCACUUAGUUUAAGAGGUGCAGACACCAGGGGAGGAAAGAGCCACGAGCUCUUUCAAAAGGAAGACGUGCACACACGUGCACGCACACACACACACAAACACGUGCACACACACAUGUGCACACACAUGCACACACAAGGCAACACAAACACGCACACACACAUGCACGCAAGGCACACAUGUGCACGAACAGACACGUGCACACACACAUGCACACGCACAUUCACACACACAGGUACACACGUGCACACACGUGCACACACACAGGCACGCACAUGGCAAGCCAGAACGGACCAGACUAAGGAGUGGGUACGGCCCACUCCCCCAGUUCCUCCGGAGGGGCCCCGGCCACGGGGACAGCGGCAAGGAGCUGCAGAGCCGCGCACCCCUCCCCCUCCGCCCCGCCCCGCCCGUCCCCCUGCACGUCUCACGUCGCUGCUCGAACAUGGACACUCCACACACUUCGGCAUCGCAAUGGUUCACCUGACUGGGAAGCGUCUCCCUUAAGCGUCCAAUGGCACCUGUGGGCCAGCGAGAGAGAAUCGAUUCUGUGCCGUCCUGGGUUCCUGACGUGCGACAAACAAAUGAGCUUCCGUGGGACCACGGGCUGUGCCUGGAUUUGCCGUCACAGGUUGAGAUUUGCAUUUCAGACCCUUCGCUGACUUGACGCAUCCGGGGCAACGUGGGGAGGACACGUGUGCGGUGCAGGUUGGCACGCGGGCCCGCAGCCGCGUGCACGCUGACGCGGGUUCACUGCUCGUCACCUGAGGGGAACCUCUGCUGUCACGGCGAUGCCACCCCAUGAGCCGGAAGGGGUUCCCUCGGCUCGGGAUGCCAAGACCCUUUUGGCUCGACAGACCGGUUCUCCAUGUGCAGACACGGUCGGCCUCGCUGGAUGACGUGCGGGGGAACGGAGGCCUCGGGGCGGGGGCCCCGGGGCUGCCCUCACCGCUGGCGGUGCCCCCGUGCUGUGCACCCCGCCUCCGCUGCGCGCUCAAGGAAAACCUUUCUCCGGAGGCGGAGGUGGGUGACAGAAACGGGAGCCAACGCCCUGUGCCGGAGGCAGCCGCAGCCUGCGGGCUGGCCUUGGUGUCUCAGCACAGCCUGUGGAGAGAGAGGGUCCACUCCCCAACAGGCGCAGAUGGGGCGAGGGCUCGCCAAGGCCCUGCCACCGUGCGCGCCGGGGCCAGGCCAGGGGCCUGCACGUCCACGCGGACACCGGCACGGAGCCCGCCGGACGCCCCCGCACGCUGACCGUGUGCGGACGCUGUGCUGACACUGCCUUUGUCUCAUCUCAUUCCAGCCUUGACGGCUCUGAAAGGUCGGUUCCAGUGUCCCUUCGUGGAAGCUGAGGCUCGGGGUUGCGUCACGUACCCGGGUUGACAGAGGUUCCAGACGGCUCGGCUGCUGAGGGACUCUCCGUGGUCCUGACUCGUCCUCGCCCUGCCCCGGGCCUCCAUCGGACCAAAGCCACAGUGGCCGGGGCCUCGGACACGACAUGGCCUGGCCACUGCGCCCAGCGAGGCCACUACCCCAGUCUUGACACGUGACCUGUCCAAGGCCACAUGGCCGGACGGCACAGGGAGGAGCUGGAGCACAGACUUCCUAGAACGAUGCCGCCUCCAUUUCAAGACUGCCGCUUGCCAGCUAUGUUCCAGCCAACAGCUGUUCUUCGUGACCUUUCAGACAUGUCCCUCUCUGUGAAAAGCCCAACUGGCAAGUGAUCCUUCGAGCACGCAUUACUUUCUUCCUAUUAGAAUUACCUCCAUCCAUCGCCAUUUGGCAAAUGUCCAAGAGCAUCGGAAAGCAUCCUCCUCCAGCCGGUUUUCAUUAAAUGACGCGGUGUCUAAUAUUCAAAUUUGUCCAGACUCUUCCUGAUCUUCUGCCAGGAGCUGACCCGAGCUGAUUCUGCAGGCAGUGACAUGUCACGGUGUCAAGUGAACACACUCACACGGGGGUGGGAGUUACGGAGACGUGGAGGCUUUCCUGCGCGCCGGCCACGGUCUCCUAGGGAACAGUGCGACGGGACAGUCUGUGUUUAUCAAGAUCAUGCUGCCUUUUCCUUUUGUUAAAGCGAGGGGUGCGUCUGAGUGUUUUCCCAAGGCAGAGUCAUCGUUUCGGUCCUACUUAACUCAGCUUUCGGCUGCUCCUUCAUCUGCUCAACAUACAUCUUCUAAGACAAAAUCCACUGGAGAAUCCAUUUUAGGGAUUAUCAGGCUCCUGGUUAGGCAAGUCUGUUUUGGUUGAUUUGUUGUUUGUGUGUGUGUGUGUGUGUGUGUGUUUUGGUCUAUGAGGAAGCUGUUCAACUCUUAAUCUCAAUUAAGAAAAAAUAUUUGCAACAGCUAUGGAAAGGGUUAAUAUGUAAUGUAUAAAUCAGCAAAAAAGAAAAAAAAAAAAACCCCAAAACCAUAGUAACACUCCAAGACAUGUUUUGACAACUCAAAAAAGAACUUCAAAAAACUGAGAACCAAAGAGCUACCGGUUUUAGCAUCAAAUUUACAAGGGCUAAGAAUAAUGAUGCCACCUCACCCGGGGACAGGGGACAGACGACAGGAGGCCAGUGAGACCCAUGCGACCUCUCGGGAAAGCAAUGUGGAGCCAGGGGUCUGCUCUCAGGCCCUGCACGUUUACACUCUCAGUUUAUGCUUCUUAUACGCCACUUUACGGAAAUAAUUCGAGGCAUAGACAUUAUUUACUCCGAAAGACGUUCGCUGCAAUGUUCACAACUGCAAACAAACACAAAACCUGCAGACAAUCGGUGUCCAACAGUUAGGGCCAUCGACGCGGUGCUCUGUGGCCACCAAAACGUUCGUCGGAGCAUUCGCUACAAGGAUCGUGCUUCUUUCUUUCCUUAAAAAAAGAGAAUUAAAAAUCUAGCAUUCCCAGAUACGUCGUGGGACUAUGUUCAACCACAUCCACAGAUAGAAGAACGGGAGACGUAAAACAAAUCAUAACACGGAUAACAGGCUCCAGGCUUGGUCAUAGUACAGGACGUGAGAUUUAUUUUCUAUUGUCUGAAGUUUCCUGUUUUCUAUAAUGAACAACGCGUUACAGUUAAUAUAACAAAUUAAACAUUUCCUUUAACCAACAA